Molecule: non-coding RNA, 73 nt
Organism: Aedes albopictus (Asian tiger mosquito)
Lineage: Eukaryota; Metazoa; Arthropoda; Insecta; Diptera; Culicidae
Source: Rfam
CUCCAGUUAGCCUAGUGGUUAAGGUUAUGGAUCACUAAUCCGGAGACGGCGGGUUCGAUUCCCGUUCGGGAAA